GAGGGUAGAGCUCAGUGGUAGAGCAUCUGCUUAGCAUGCACGAGAUCCUGGGUUCAAUCCCCAGUACCUCCA
Molecule: transfer RNA, 72 nt
Filed under: Camelus bactrianus (Bactrian camel)
Lineage: Eukaryota; Metazoa; Chordata; Mammalia; Artiodactyla; Camelidae
Also listed under: 2 other names
Rfam family: tRNA
About the family: Transfer RNA (tRNA) molecules are approximately 80 nucleotides in length. Their secondary structure includes four short double-helical elements and three loops (D, anti-codon, and T loops).
Source: Rfam by way of RNAcentral